Molecule: long non-coding RNA, 428 nt
Filed under: Phoenix dactylifera (date palm)
Lineage: Eukaryota; Viridiplantae; Streptophyta; Magnoliopsida; Arecales; Arecaceae
Description: long non-coding RNA (PDAC_LNC007729)
Source: RNAcentral
UAAACGAAGCCACCUUAUCUGACCCUUUAGCUUUCUGGAUCAUAUAGAGUCACUCAAUAACAACCCACCAUCAAGAGGCAAAUUGGUGUCAAGGCCCCCUUAACCCAUGAAUCAUGGAAGGGUGGAACUACUUAUAUAUUUUUGAAUAUAUUAUAAAAAGAUAUUUAAAAAUAUAUUUAAAAAUACAUAAAUUUAUAAGCUAUAGAAUCACUGAUCCCGUCUCUUAGAAUUAAAAAAGAUGAGUUAUUGAAUAAAUGGUCAAAAAACUAUGAAAAAGAUAAACUAUCUAUUUAAUAUAAAUCUAAAAACUGAAUAGGCGUGGUCCUUAAAUGAUUGAACAUAGACUUGGUUUGAGCUGAGCAUUUCUAACUUGCUUGUAAUUCAAGGUAGGCUUGAAUUAGAACCUAUGAGGUUAUAUGAACUCAACU